AGGAAAACUGAAAGAACUUGCGAUUUUAUAUGAAAGAAUUCCCAAAACAGAACAAAAAGAAACGAAUAUCACAGGCUAAAAUCCUACAAUCCUCUUUUCGCCAAUUUCAGAAAACUAGAAGGAUUAAGCCGAACUAACAAAAUCACAGAACAUCAGAGUUCCGGCAUUCAUCUCGUGCUCAAACUGCAAAAUGAACCAAAAAAAACUCACGACAACAACCUACUAGAUACAUCGCUGCUUUAGGAUUUGUUGCAAUCACAAAUCAGCCAGCUCUUAAUCAACACACUACACCAAGCAAAUCCACAAUUAAGGGAUAGUCCAGUAUAUACUCAUUCAAACCACAUCUCAAAUAUACACUAAUUAGACUGCCUCGGCAUUUAUCAUUUAGAUUCACAUAACGGCAGUAAAGGAUAAGAGAGGAACCUAAAAAUCGAAAGUUCAAUUAUCCUUUGAUGUUUUAAUAUGGUACAAACAGGAGAAAACUAAGCAACAAGCUCGAAAAGAAAAUCAAAUACUGAAAUCUGAGCCUUAGCAGCAAGCGCGACAGCCUCGAAUCAACCCUGACUCUCGAACUCAAUCGAACUCCAUUUUUAACAAAAUCUAGAUGGAAAUAAAAGACAGAACCUAUGUACUUCGAAAUUUAGAUGGUAAUUGAAGAAAAUGGGAUCACAGAAUAAACAUGUUUUUUUUUAAAUCUUUUUCUGAAAUUAAACUAAGAAUGAAGGUGAACAAUAGAGAAAAGGAAGACUAUUCUCUAGAACCCUAAUUUCCUCUCAAAAUCCGCCUCGAGAAAUCCUCUCUUCGAAGAAAAAUAUCUCCAAACAAUUCCCUCUAAAAUCCCUUUCCGAAAUUCAUAAAAAAAAUCUUCCUCAAGAAAAGUGUCGUGUUAUAUAUAUUCCUCCAAAGAUCUCGAACCUUCUUCCUUUAUCUCCAAUAAAUCCCUCUAAAAUCUCUUUCUAAAAUCUAAAUUUUUAACCUUGCUUAUGGUGAAAAUGGACAAAUGGAGGGAGUGGAUCGAAUCGAAUCCAAUCCAACGCUCCCCAUUUUUCCAUAUAUUCACCCCAAACGCUAAAUCCGAAAAAUAAAUCGAAGAGAUAGCAUGUGAGGGAGAGAAUCUGUCAGAGGUGGUUAGAAAUAUAGUUACGAGGAGAUAGGAAAACGCGUGAGGCGAGAUUGGGAGCUCACUCGCUUGAAUUUUGGGCUGAAAUGGGGUUUGGGUUUGGGUGUUCUUCAGAGAAGAAGAACAGUACGCGUGAGGCGAGAUUGGGAGCUCACUCGCCUGAAUUUUGGGGCUGAAAUGGGGUUUGGCUUCGGGUGUUUUUUAGAGAAGAAGAACAGUAUGCGUGGGUGUUCUUUGGGAUUCUAGGGAUUAAGCCAUUUUCUUUUAAUUAUGAACGGGUCAGGUCGGGGUUCUUGGGCUGGGUUACGCG
RNAcentral lists this long non-coding RNA (1430 nucleotides) under Nicotiana benthamiana. RNAcentral's name for it is "long non-coding RNA (NBEN_LNC041787)". Lineage: Eukaryota; Viridiplantae; Streptophyta; Magnoliopsida; Solanales; Solanaceae. The record is from RNAcentral.